Molecule: long non-coding RNA, 777 nt
Filed under: Rattus norvegicus (Norway rat)
Lineage: Eukaryota; Metazoa; Chordata; Mammalia; Rodentia; Muridae
Description: long non-coding RNA NONRATT033030
Source: RNAcentral
GGACAAUGGACUGAGUGGGUACAGGAUUCAGAAUCCAUAAGGGAUCCAGAAUGUGACUCCUGACUUCCUGUGGUCCAAGACUGAUGGGAAAACUAAUACUGCAGGAGCAGCCGAUUCGAUUUCCAUCUGCCCAGCAGGGGUUGCCUGCCAGUGAUGCCCUCUUGUGAUCUGUACAGACUAGCUAGGAAUUGUCUAUUCAGGUCAGAUGUCAGUGGGCGUCCCCAAUCCUGCUGUCCCUUGUUUCCUUUUAGCACAACCUUUCGAUUGUCAUCACCGAUGAGUAAUGUGGAAAAACCGGUAUUAACCCAAAACUACCUCAGGCUUCCUCAGUUUCCUACAACGUCCUCACCUGAGGGUGCACUGGUUAACUUAGUCAUCAGAUCUCCUGGGCUACUCUGGGUUGCAGCAGCAUCUCAGAUGUUCUCAUCAUGGACAACCGGAUACUCCAGGAGGACAGGAUGAUAACUCAUGGAACUUGCCUGCUGAUAUUUGUCUCAGAUUUGCUCCCAAAUGAUCCUGAAGGCAUCCUUAGGGGAGCAUGGCAGAGGCCAAGUGACCUUCUUUACAGGCAUUUGAGAAAUGCAAAGACUCUGGCUCUUGUAAUAGGUCCCUAGCCAGCAUCUCCUGAGUAUCUAUGUGUACAGCCUGGGCAGGGUUGGGGGUCCAGGGGAUGACCCAGGUUGGCCUAUAUCCAGAGUAUAGAUGACAGGGUUUCCUCCUGAUGAGGCACUGGCAAAAGAUUCUGGCCAGAACGGGGACCAUCUAAGCAAGCGAUGG